GACGAACGCUGGCGGCGUGCUUAACACAUGCAAGUCGAACGGAAAGGCCCUGCUUUUGUGGGGUGCUCGAGUGGCGAACGGGUGAGUAACACGUGAGUAACCUGCCCUUGACUUUGGGAUAACUUCAGGAAACUGGGGCUAAUACCGGAUAGGAGCUCCUGCUGCAUGGGGGGGGUUGGAAAGUUUCGUCGGUUGGGGAUGGACUCGCGGCUUAUCAGCUUGUUGGUGGGGUAGUGGCUUACCAAGGCUUUGACGGGUAGCCGGCCUGAGAGGGUGACCGGCCACACUGGUACUUAGAGACGGCCCAGACGCCUACGGGAGGCAGCAGUGGGGAAUAUUGCACAAUGGGCGGAAGCCUCAUGCAGCAACGCCGCGUGCGGGAUGACGGGCUUCGGGUUGUAAACCGCCUUCGCCAGUGACGCAGCGUGUGUGACGGUAAUGUGUAAAGAAUCACCGGCUAACUACGUG
Molecule: ribosomal RNA, 468 nt
Filed under: uncultured bacterium
Lineage: Bacteria
Description: partial 16S ribosomal RNA
Rfam family: Bacterial small subunit ribosomal RNA
Source: RNAcentral